CAUGUCUAAGUAUAAGCAAUUAUACGGCGAAACUGCGAAUGGCUCAUUAUAUAAGUUAUCGUUUAUUUGAUAGUACCUUACUACUUGGAUAACCGUGGUAAUUCUAGAGCUAAUACAUGCUUAAAAUCCCGACUUCGGAAGGGAUGUAUUUAUUAGAUUAAAAACCAAUGCCCUUCGGGGCUCUCUGGUGAUUCAUGAUAACUUCUCGAAUCGCAUGGCCUUGCGCCGGCGAUGGUUCAUUCAAAUUUCUUCCCUAUCAACUUUCGAUGUUUGGGUAUUGGCCAAACAUGGUUGCAACGGGUAACGGAGGGUUAGGGCUCGACCCCGGAGAAGGAGCCUGAGAAACGGCUACUACAUCCAAGGAAGGCAGCAGGCGCGCAAAUUACCCAAUCCCGACUCGGGGAGGUAGUGACAAUAAAUACUGAUACAGGGUUCUUUUGGAUCUUGUAAUUGGAAUGAGUACAAUUUAAAUCCCUUAACGAGGAACAAUUGGAGGGCAAGUCUGGUGCCAGCAGCCGCGGUAAUUCCAGCUCCAAUAGCGUAUAUUAAAGUUGUUGUGGUUAAAAAGCUCGUAGUUGAACCUUGGGCCUGGCUGGCCGGUCCGCCUCACCGCGUGUACUGGUCCGGCCGGGCCUUUCCCUCUGUGGAACCCUAUGCCCUUCACUGGGUGUAGCGGGGAAACAGGACUUUUACUUUGAAAAAAUUAGAGUGCUCCAGGCAGGCCUUUGCUCGAAUACAUUAGCAUGGAAUAAUAAAAUAGGACGUGUGGUUCUAUUUUGUUGGUUUCUAGGACCGCCGUAAUGAUUAAUAGGGACAGUCGGGGGCAUCAGUAUUCAAUUGUCAGAGGUGAAAUUCUUGGAUUUAUUGAAGACUAACUACUGCGAAAGCAUUUGCCAAGGAUGUUUUCAUUAAUCAGGAACGAAAGUUAGGGGAUCGAAGACGAUCAGAUACCGUCGUAGUCUUAACCAUAAACUAUGCCGACUAGGGAUCGGACGAUGUUAAAAAUUGACUCGUUCGGCACCUUACGAGAAAUCAAAGUGCUUGGGCUCCAGGGGGAGUAUGGUCGCAAGGCUGAAACUUAAAGAAA
This 1087-nucleotide ribosomal RNA is filed under the name Clonostachys rosea. Its description in RNAcentral is "SSU rRNA". It matches the Rfam family "Eukaryotic small subunit ribosomal RNA", at positions 54 to 1152 of the family's 1831-position model. The record is from RNAcentral. Lineage: Eukaryota; Fungi; Ascomycota; Sordariomycetes; Hypocreales; Bionectriaceae.